Molecule: ribosomal RNA, 423 nt
Filed under: uncultured bacterium
Lineage: Bacteria
Description: partial 16S ribosomal RNA
Rfam family: Bacterial small subunit ribosomal RNA
Source: RNAcentral
AUUUUGGACAAUGGGGGAAACACUGAUCCAGCCAUCCCGCGUGUGUGAAGAAGGUCUUCGGAUUGUAAAGCACUUUAAGCUGGGAGGAAGGGCAGUAAGUUAAUACCUUGCUGUUUUUACGUUACCGACAGAAUAAGCACCGGCUAACUUCGUGCCAGCAGCCGCGGUAAUACGAAGGGUGCAAGCGUUAAUCGGAAUUACUGGGCGUAAAGCGCGGGUAGGUGGUUUGUUAAGUUGGAAGUGAAAGCCCCGGGCUUAACCUGGGAACUGCUUUCAUAACUGCUGAGCUAGAGUACGGUAGAGGGUAGUGGAAUUUCCUGUGUAGCGGUGAAAUGCGUAGAUAUAGGAAGGAACACCAGUGGCGAAGGCGACUACCUGGACUGAUACUGACACUGAGGUGCGAAAGCGUGGGGAGCAAACAGG